GUAACACGUAGUCAACCUGCCCUGGAGACAUGGACAACCCCGGGAAACUGGGAUUAAUCCGUGAUAGGUCAUCCCAUCUGGAAGGAGGGAUGGCUUAAAGGGGCGCGCGGGCUUCUUCUGCGCGUCCGCUCCAGGAUGGGACUGCGUCCGAUCAGGCUGUUGGCGGGGUAAUGGCCCACCAAACCUGUAACCGGUACGGGCCUUGAGAGAGGUGGCCCGGAGAUGGACACUGAGAGAAGGGUCCAGGUCCUACGGGGCGCAGCAGGCGCGAAACCUUCGCAAUGCGCGAAAGCGUGACGAGGUUAAUCCGAGUGGUCCCCGCUGAGGGGACCUUUUGUCAGCUGUAAAUAGGCGGGCGAAUAAGGGGAGGGCAAGCCUGGUGUCAGCCGCCGCGGUAAUACCAGCUCCUCGAGUGGUCGGGGCGAUUAUUGGGCCUAAAGCAUCCGUAGCCGGUUCCGUAGGUCCUCUGUUAAAUCCACCCGCUCAACGGGUGACCUGCAGAGGAUACCGCGGGACU
This 517-nucleotide ribosomal RNA is filed under the name uncultured archaeon. RNAcentral's name for it is "bacterial SSU rRNA". It matches the Rfam family "Archaeal small subunit ribosomal RNA", at positions 93 to 593 of the family's 1478-position model. The record is from RNAcentral.